Molecule: long non-coding RNA, 5397 nt
Filed under: Homo sapiens (human)
Lineage: Eukaryota; Metazoa; Chordata; Mammalia; Primates; Hominidae
Description: long non-coding RNA NONHSAT223052.1
Source: RNAcentral
CACCCCUCUUGCAUAAUCCUUCACAUUUUUUUGGAAUAUAAUUUCAUCCGAUCUUCCAGUUACACACACACUCAAAAUUCUGCUAUAAACUAUCAUUAGGAUUGUACUGGAUAUACUGAUUUAUUUAGAGGCGAAUUGAUGCCAUUGAAAAAAUUGAUCUUCCUCUUAAGAAAAAUGUAGUAUUUUAAAAUAUUAUGUGACUAUUCAAACUGAAGGCUCAUAAAAAGUGGCAUGUGUGUUUUCCUUGUAUUUACCUUCAUUAUUUUUCUAGGUGUUUCAUAACGUUUGCAACCAAUGUAAAUGGGAUAGCUUAAAUCUAUGAUAUUCCCUAUUUAUUGGAAGACUGUGCAAAUUUUUAAUUUAUUUAUGUAUUCAUUUAUUUUUAUUGUAGAGAUGGGGUCUCCUUAUGUUGCCCAGGCUGGUCUUGAACUCCUGGGCUCAAGCGCUCCACCCCGCUCAGCCUUCCAAAGUGCUGGGAUUAUAGGCGAGAGCCACUGUGCCUCACCUAGUAUGCAAAGUUUUUACGCAUUUAACUUCUAUCAAUCAGCCUCUCCUGACCUAUUUCCUAGGUGAUUGCCUUGGAUUUCUAGGAUGUCAGUUCCUUAAGAGAAAGAUAGUUUUCCACUUUCUUUGUUAACAAAAUACACCGAUAAGUUAUCUUCCCUCUCCAAAUUGUUUAGGACAAUGAAUAUGGCCUCAGGGUCUUUACACGGUUCUAUGUGGCCAGGAGAAAACCUGCGGGACUGAGCGUUCCUUCCCUGCCACUCAAGAAAGGGAGUGUGUGACCUUUCUAGAUCAGAGACUUGGAAGGGAAUAUGGCUUGAGACAUAUGAGUAUGUCUCAAGGAACUGGUCCAGUUUUAGCAUAAGAUUUUCCAAAGCAUUAAAAGCCCACCUGCAUCCCAGGUCCACAGAAUAAAGGUGUGAAGCUGCACUGCAUUGAGCUUUGGGAGGGGCUCCACUGCACUGAGCUUUGGGAGGGUUUAGAUAAGUGUGGGAGACACAGCAAUGUUUAAUUGCAGUGUUCAAUUUCUGCAACUAAACACUCCAUUUACAUGAAUUGUGUAUUAUAGGAGGAGUACUUGCAGAGUCAUGACCAAAGAUGGAUGCAAGAUUGAGAAGCAGGUAGGAAGUUUGACCUGGAACUAAUUCCUGGAUUGGAACAUGGCGGACAAAGUUGCUGAUCACUACCCAGGGGACAAGGCAAGAUGCAAUGGGUGCUGUUUAUUUACAGAAAGGAGAAAUUUUAAUGGAUUUUAUACAAGCCAGGAACAAGCUCUGAGGCCAGGGUAGUUGAGGGUUCUGUCUAGGAAGGAGACAUGCAGAUGGCACCCAGCCACAGGAUAUACCCACCUCCUCUCCCAGCAACUUCCACUCACCUUAUUCAGGCUUGAACCAGAAGGAAGCCAGGCAUGGUGGCCAGUGUUUGAAUCUUGCAGACUGUUGGCACUAGGUUCUGAGGACAAUUGUGAGUCACCAUAGUGACUAUGACUUCACUUGGUGCUGAACCAAUCAGGCCCUGGGACUCAAGGAAAGAGAGGGAGUGCCAAGCUGUUACUGUUUACCCUCUGGCCCAGAUCUUUCUUCAGAAGAAACCUGAGUGGUCUCACAGGUAAAAUAUCCUGAUAUACCAAGAUCAUAGAGCAUCCUUUUGUGCCAUUAACUAACUAACCUACCUGAUAAACCCCAACCCUGUUUGGUAAUGGGGGGAGGUUAUCAAAGAGUCAUUUGUUCAAACUGAUACAGAGACACUACAGAGCAGUGGGUAAAAGCAGAAGCUUCAGAUACAGGCUUUCUCAGUUCCAAUCUCACCUCUCUGUCACUUGGGCAAGUCUUUUAGUCUCUCUUGGGAGGUCAAAAUAGAGAACACAGUGAGCAUCCACCCCUAGCCUUGGCACUGUGCUAGAUUCAAAUGAAAUGCAGAACUGGGUUUUUGGGGAUGAGGCAGGGCCAGGCAUCAGAGGUGAGUACAAUCUUUAAGCCACUGUGAUUACGUUCCCAGGAUGGAAAAUCAGCAGGAUGGACCUUAGAAACAGAAACUCGGUAGUACUUGAGAAUGUCCAGUUUAUCUCUUACACAGGGGUUUGGAGUAAGAUUCAUACCUGCUUCACCAGUGAUUUUCAAAGGAGGCAAAUCCUAUUUGAAGCUAAAGUCACAUAAAGAGAUUUGGAAUGAGGAAACAAAUUAUAGCAGCCUGCAAGUUGUAGAAUGAAGAAAUGCAAAUGUAAAGUACUGAACUUUGUCAUGGAUAGAUUUACCAAAGAGAAUUACUCUGCAUAACAUGAAUAAUGGAGUUCAGAAGGAAGCCCAUAUCCCAGGUACAGGGAAAACUCAGAGGUGAGAAGAGGCAGCUCUGAAAAAGAGCAACAUAGAAUUGAGUUAAAAUUAGUGUGGAUAUAAGAAUUACAAUGACAUUUGAGCUAUGAGGUAGUGUUUUGAGUACAAUCUAACAAGCCUGUGUGUGUCAGGUAAUGAUUAGAGGGAUGCAAUAGUGUGUCUUUAAUGUCCCGGGUCCCAUCAGGCUGCUGCACAGCCCCAUGUGUAAGACAGAUAGAAGAAACAAUAUGGUUGGUGCUUCAAAUCAGAUGAUGACCCAAAGCAAUCUCCUGUGACUACUGCUGGUAGCAGUGUGUGUGUGUAUGGGGGUGUGUGUGUGUGUGUGUGUGUGUGUGUGGUUUUGUGCCAGUGAGGAAGAGGUUGCCGGGUACACUUGAUUACCUAGAAUACAUCAUCUUUUUCAGACUUCCUCGGUUGUGCUGUUUUACUGAGGUUGGGUGGAGUCAACACAUCAUGGAUAAAGAAGUCCCUAAAGGCAGUCCCAGGGAGCCCGCACUGAACAUCAAGAAGUCAGACAAAUCCUUCAAACGCAAGAAGCCCACCGAAAAUGUGCUGAUCUUUUUAAUCAACAGACAACUGGGCAGGCACAGAAGUGACAUCGACCUGUCAAGAUGGGUGUGGAUGCUGUCAUAAAGCAACUCUAGGGUGGACAUGGCCUUGGACAAAAAGUCAUGUGGCUUACGUGCUGAAGCCUGCCCAUAUUUUUGAGAAAUUAAAUAUAAUUAGAACAAUAAACUCCUCCCAUGUUUGAGUCAUUAAAACAGAGUCUGUCAUUUCACUCCUUGAGGUUGGAUGUGUGUUUGCUGACAGGGUGUUCUUGGGUUACACUGGAAGGGGCUUCUGUUCAUCCUAACACGCUGUGCAGGGGUGCUUAGACCCAGGGGAGAGGGUGAGAUCAUGCUGCACACCAGAUCUCUCCCACCAUCAAUCUGAAAAACACUGCAAAGUCAAAGUGAUGUAGUACUUGGCAUUUAAGGACCAAAGACUCUUCUCCCUAGCCAUUUUGAAGAGACUGCCCUGGUGUUCCCCUCUAAAACCCAAUGCUUGUCCUAGUGAAAAGACAUUGUUUAAGAGCAGACCAACAGUUGGCCUGGGGGUUUGGGAUAUGUUUUAAUACUGCCAAUGUCAUAUCCACAGAGCCUUCCAGAGGCAACCGCUCUGCCCUUUGUCCCCAGGAAAGUAUAGAAUGCUCUGGUCACUUUUUUGUGUCAUGUCAAACAAACCUGCUCAGGCCACAGCCAAAGAUAAUUCAUUUGACUGAAAUGAAGCCACCUGGUAGGACAACAACACACAUGAGAUGGCUCCCAUUGAAGAAGCUCUGUCCCCAAGGAAUGUGCUGAGCAAGUCAGAUACUCAUUCUGAGAAACCUGAAAUGGGAACUAUGUGGGCAAUUGGUCACUGACAAGUGAGAGUUAAAGCUGAAGAGGGGACAGGGAGAGCAAAGAGGUCAGAGCCGUGGCAAACAUGGGCAAGCCUAAGUGAGGAGUAAGAUGAAAUUUACAUAAGGUGAACCAUUAAAGCCAUCACAGAUUCCAAGCAUUUCUCUUGUCCUUUCACGUGAGCUGCAAAAUAAGCCCCUGCAAGCAGUCCUCUGUCCCCUCUUCCCCUCCUCCCCAAUUCCCUGUGUUCUCACAACCUGUCCAGCAUUCCCCAAGGCCCCUUCCUGUGUCCCCUCCCCCGCCUACAUCUAAGGGGCUGUUACUCUCUCUUCCCUUAGCCAGGUCUCUUCCAGAUUUUUUAUGUGGUACGAAGUUAAACUGCUCUAUGUCCUUUUCACUGUCCUCUUUGUCCCUGUCACCUUCUCUGUCCCUGCACUGAUGCAGCAUCGCCAAAAAAGAGCCACCAGCCUCUCCUCAGAGGACGCAGCUGGCUGUAGGAUGGAGAGGAGGGGUUAGAGGCUGCCAGGUAGAGGGGCCUCCUGGGUGCACCGUUGGGAGGAACGCUGCCUGGACACUGCUAUGUCGGUGACUAUUUACCUGCAGCCCAGCAUCAAACAGUGGCUGUGAGGUGGAGAAUAGGUGGGGAAUGGAGGCUGAAAGGGCAGCAGGUAGGGCAAGAAGGAGCCAAACCCACAGGAGCAGAGGCCAAUAACAGCCAACCUCCUACACUCCAUGGCCACACAACAGAAGAGACAGAAUUUAGGAUACAGAGUUAUGUGUGGAUAAAUCUCACCAUCAUACUGAGUGAGAAAACAAGUAGCACAGAAUUAUGUACCAAAGAGAAACCCAACUGUGCCAAGCAGUACUUGGGUAUAUACAUAGACAGUAAAGUUAUCCAAACUAGAGCAGCAGCACAUUCAAGUGGAACUCUGUCCACUUUCCGACUUGACUAGUGCCCCAAAACAAUUGGUACCAACUAUUUCCCAUCUUGCAAGGAGUUGCCUAACAAUGGAGGCCUGGUAAAGAAGGUAAUCACAAUCAUGUGACCUCUGACCACUCACUCACCUACAGGUGUCUACUCACACUGGAAGUCUGGGUGGGUUGGAGACCAGAGAGGCAUGCUUCCCAGGGAUUGGAGGCUGUGCCGAGUUUAAACGAGGAAAACUUCCUACACUUCAAAUUCACUGGAAGGUUGGGGCUACUCAGUGUUCACCUAGAGAACUUGACUUUUGUUUCCAGAAGUGACACUCACAAGGAAGAAAUUCAGGAGGAAAGUGGCUGUAGGAGAGGGAGAGAAGAUUUGGCCAAAAUUCCUCUGAAGAGAUUUUUCUCAGGAGAUCUUAGUGGCGGCCAAAUGUAACCUUCUCGGGACGGGGAAGGGGGUGGGAAUCUGGAUGCAGCUGACUCACAGGAAUCAGAGGCUGACUGGAGACCAUGCACACAGUGUCAGGAGACACUCUCUUCUUCUACUCUUUCAUUUCUAGCUGCUGCCUCUCAUUGCUCAAAUCACUAACCAGACAGCCAGGAAGCCAAGGUGAUGUCUUCCAUGGUAUCAGCCUUCUGGAACACACAGCCCUGCAGAGAAGCAUAUAUCUAGUUGGACAAACUGAGAAGAAUCAAAUCAAUUCACCACUUUUUUCUACUUCCAUUACUGUUCCACCACUGUUGCUUUAAUCAGAGGA